This 469-nucleotide ribosomal RNA is filed under the name uncultured bacterium. RNAcentral's name for it is "partial 16S ribosomal RNA". It matches the Rfam family "Bacterial small subunit ribosomal RNA", at positions 28 to 507 of the family's 1533-position model. The record is from RNAcentral.
GACGAACGCUGGCGGCGUGCUUAACACAUGCAAGUCGAACGAUGAAGCGCCAGCUUGCUGGUGUGGAUUAGUGGCGAACGGGUGAGUAACACGUGAGUAACCUGCCCCCUACUCUGGGAUAAGCCGGGGAAACUGGGUCUAAUACUGGAUAUGACCAAUCACUGCAUGGUGUGUUGGUGGAAAGAUUUUUUGGUGGGGGAUGGACUCGCGGCCUAUCAGCUUGUUGGUGGGGUAAUGGCCUACCAAGGCGACGACGGGUAGCCGGCCUGAGAGGGCGACCGGCCACACUGGGACUGAGACACGGACCAGACUCCUACGGGCGGCAGCAGUGGGGAAUAUUGCACACUGGGCGAAAGCCUGAUGCAGCGACGCCGCGUGAGGGAUGACGGCCUUCGGGUUGUAAACCUCUUUCACCAGGGACGAAGCUAACGUGACGGUACCUGGAGAAGAAGCACCGGCUAACUACGUG